AUAGUAGCCGUGUUUUCCCUGCUCGUUUCUCUCCUGCGUGGUGUGUGCUUCAUCGCCCUGAAGAUCUCUCUGCUUGACAGGGCAGUGAAGGGGACAGAAGCAGAGCGGGGACCCAAGAGCCUGAGGACACCUGGAGCGGGGGAGGCUGACCACUUCCGAGGCUGACCUUCAGGACCCUGACCCCGGGCUGCCGUCCCUCGGGUUUCCUUCCCAGCCGAGCGGCAGGCAGAGGAGCGGC
Molecule: long non-coding RNA, 238 nt
Filed under: Dasypus novemcinctus (nine-banded armadillo)
Lineage: Eukaryota; Metazoa; Chordata; Mammalia; Cingulata; Dasypodidae
Description: lncRNA (ENSDNOG00000050063.1)
Source: RNAcentral